UGGAUAUGGAGGUUGUGGUGUAGA
RNAcentral lists this non-coding RNA (24 nucleotides) under Arabidopsis thaliana (thale cress). Lineage: Eukaryota; Viridiplantae; Streptophyta; Magnoliopsida; Brassicales; Brassicaceae. The record is from RNAcentral.